RNAcentral lists this small RNA (592 nucleotides) under Pan troglodytes (chimpanzee). RNAcentral's name for it is "processed transcript". Lineage: Eukaryota; Metazoa; Chordata; Mammalia; Primates; Hominidae. The record is from RNAcentral.
UAAAGCCGCAUCAAAGCUUCAGGAAGGGGCUGGCAGGGCGCCCUGCGUCCGGCAGAGGAGGCGAGCAUCCCCGCUCAGGUGAUGAGGAACCCCUCGCGCACCCAGCGCAGAAGGCUGCUGCCGCCGGACGCCUCCAUUGUUUGACCACAACAAGGGCCGGAUUCUCACCCAGCAGGAUCCUAAGGCCUUUGUAGUCCUUCAGCCACUGUGGCCCCUGCCUCUGCCUGUUCUUCUGGAAUGUCUUGGGGGUUUUGAUCCUGUCACUGUGACCUGCAAAUCCAAGAGACACAUCUUUGGAAGAUAAGAGAGCUUCUUCAAGACCAAAAAAGGAGACGGCAUGAUACCCAUGUAGGGAAUUCCCCAAAGCAGGGCUUGCCAUACCUGGACCCCGAGGAGCCUGCUUGCUGGAAAGGCUUUCCUGUCUGAUGUGCAAGAGGCAGAAUGCCAAACUGACUCUUCAAGGGGCAACUGCAGGGGCUCGAGACCAGCCAGCAGUAUCUCAUCCUUCGAUACAGGGCAUAUACUGUACAGUCCUUUUUCUAGAAGUGAGACGUACAAGAUUACUCUACAAGAGGAAGAUUCCAGGGGCUCA